CACUUGUACAUCAACCACCGGCAAUUCUUCCCAUUUAUCUUCCUCCUCUAUUUUAACAAUACUUUUAAAAUGUCUGGAGACAAAAGCCCUUUUCUCAGGGUUCUUCCAUUCUCUGAAUAUAAAAUCUAGCAUUUUUUGUUGGACCGGCAGUGUUUUACCCUUGGAUUUAUCUACCGUUUCAUCAGAAAGGAUAACAUUAACCUCUUUAAUAAAU
This is a non-coding RNA of Pelobates cultripes (western spadefoot toad), 214 nucleotides long. NCBI's taxonomy places the organism in Eukaryota, Metazoa, Chordata, Amphibia, Anura, Pelobatidae. The record is from the annotation of a GenBank genome assembly.